AUGGCCGCAGCGGAGGAAACGGCCGUGGGAACCGCUGCGGAGGGGAGCGACCUGCGCUCCUUCUUCUCGACGCGCGGCGUCGCCGCCGAUCUUGCUGCGUUGGACGACCAGACCCUCAAGGCGCUGGACGAGAAGUACAUUAUCGCCAGGGACCUCGACGCCGCCACGGUGCUCUCCAAGAUCCACCACUUGGUGGGGCACAGCGAAGCCAGCAUCGUCCCCUACGAAGGGCUGUCCUACCAGCUUCCGUGCCGUGACCCGGGGCAGCACGAGUACGACCCCACACUCCGGCAGCUUUGCCUGCGCCGCGGCAAGGUCGAAACUUGCACGGUCGGCGACCCCAGGACCUCGCGCAAGGCCGAGAUCAUCACGGCCACGCUAUCCUUGGUCAAGAAGACCGUCCUGAGUGGCCAUCGCUCGUUUAGCGACGGUCUGCGCUACGGCGAUGAAGUCUUCAAGCAGGACAAGAAGACCGUGGAUGAUGCCCUGCUGGACAUCUGCUGCCUACUCGAGUGCCCAAGGGCAUCUCUCAAAAUGCUUGAACUUGGUCCGGGCACGGUCGUUGGGCCACUGAUAUUCACAAUGGAAGAUGGGGCAGAGAACCAUUGCAGGUCAUUCGGUCCGAGUGGAGCCCGGGUACAUGAGGGGAUCUCUAAUAUUACUGUCGAACAAGGCGCAACGGUCAAUUUCAUCCUACUAGUCCAGAGGGAUGAUGUUUUUUGGGAUUUUGCUCGGUCGCAACUCCGCCACGAAUUGAAUUGUGUGGUCAUGACAGGCGGCGAUGGGGAACCAAAUGUCAUGACACGGGCUUUCUUGCGCAAACUCAAGGAUUGUCUGUCUGUCCCUGUGUAUGCUCUCACCGAUUCAGAUCCAGAGGGAAUUUCGAUCUUUUGUACCUACAAGUUUGGAUCAGCAGAGAUGCCAUUUGACAAUGUGGGUCUUACCAUUCCUGAUAUCAAGUUGAUUGCGUAUAUAGGUGAUGAUGCCCUUCAUUUGAGUCACCUUCAACCGCUGGCCAAGCGCGACAGAUCGAUUCUUAAGGGAUUGUGUGCCCAAAAGCAUGUAAUAGGUGAUGAACAAUUGAGGGAGAACAUACAUUUCAUGAUGAACAGGGGCUUAAAAUGCAAAAUCGAAGCUUUAUAUUAUCUUCAGUACCCUCCUACUGACUACAUCCGCAAAGCAGUAGGCAAUCUGGAGGACAUCUAA
Molecule: ribosomal RNA, 1206 nt
Filed under: Triticum aestivum (bread wheat)
Lineage: Eukaryota; Viridiplantae; Streptophyta; Magnoliopsida; Poales; Poaceae
Description: partial small subunit ribosomal RNA
Source: RNAcentral